GCAGGGGAUAACACCUGGAACAGAUGCUAAUACCGUAUAACAGAGAAAACCGCCUGGUUUUCUUUUAAAAGAUGGCUCUGCUAUCACUUCUGGAUGGACCCGCGGCGCAUUAGCUAGUUGGUGAGGUAAAGGCUCACCAAGGCGAUGAUACAUAA
Molecule: ribosomal RNA, 155 nt
Filed under: Pediococcus acidilactici
Lineage: Bacteria; Bacillati; Bacillota; Bacilli; Lactobacillales; Lactobacillaceae
Description: partial 16S ribosomal RNA
Rfam family: Bacterial small subunit ribosomal RNA
Source: RNAcentral